Strigops habroptila (Kakapo) is the source of this 100-nucleotide long non-coding RNA. RefSeq lists it as uncharacterized. The record is from RefSeq and is a predicted model, not a curated record. NCBI's taxonomy places the organism in Eukaryota, Metazoa, Chordata, Aves, Psittaciformes, Psittacidae. The transcript is spliced from 3 exons.
AUUAAUAGAAUGGAUAAGGAAGCGAAGUAUACCUCGAAAACCUAUGUUAAGCACAAAUACAACUGUCCACCAGCCAAGCACAAGAGAAAAAAGCAAGUCA